This 542-nucleotide ribosomal RNA is filed under the name uncultured Burkholderiales bacterium. RNAcentral's name for it is "bacterial SSU rRNA". It matches the Rfam family "Bacterial small subunit ribosomal RNA", at positions 384 to 919 of the family's 1533-position model. The record is from RNAcentral. Lineage: Bacteria; Pseudomonadati; Pseudomonadota; Betaproteobacteria; Burkholderiales.
UGAUCAGCCAUGCCGCGUGAGUGAUGAAGGCCUUCGGGUUGUAAACUUCUUUUGUCCCCGUUGAAGAGGACGGAGCUAAUACCACGAGCUCAUGACGGCUCCUUGAGAGUAAGCACCGGCUAACUACGUGCCAGCAGCCGUAGUUAAUACGUAAGGUGCAAGCGUUAAUCUUAAUUGCUGGGCGUAAAGCGUGCGGAAGCCGUUAUGUAAGACAGGUGUGAAAUCCCCGGGCUUAACCUGGGAACUGCAUUUGAGAGUGCGUGGCUUGAGUGCGGGAGAGGGGGAUGGAAUUCCGUGUGUAGGAGAGAAAUGCGUAGAUAUGCGGAGGAACACCGAUGGCAAAGGCGAUGCCCUGGAGAUGCAGUGACUCUCAUGCACAAAAUCGUGGGGAGCAAACAAGAUUAUAUACCCUGGUUUUUCACGCCCUAAACUAUAUCAACUGGGUGUUGGGUCUUAAAUGACUCAGUAACCAAGCUAACGCGUGAAAUUGACCCCCCGGGGGGUUCCGGCCCAAGGAUUAAACUUAAAAGAAUUGACGCGGA